This 497-nucleotide ribosomal RNA is filed under the name uncultured bacterium. RNAcentral describes it as "partial 16S ribosomal RNA". It matches the Rfam family "Bacterial small subunit ribosomal RNA", at positions 28 to 507 of the family's 1533-position model. The record is from RNAcentral.
GAUGAACGCUGGCGGCGUGCCUAAUACAUGCAAGUCGAGCGAACGGACGAGAAGCUUGCUUCUCUGAUGUUAGCGGCGGACGGGUGAGUAACACGUGGAUAACCUACCUAUAAGACUGGGAUAACUUCGGGAAACCGGAGCUAAUACCGGAUAAUAUUUUGAACCGCAUGGUUCAAAAGUGAAAGACGGUCUUGCUGUCACUUAUAGAUGGAUCCGCGCUGCAUUAGCUAGUUGGUAAGGUAACGGCUUACCAAGGCAACGAUGCAUAGCCGACCUGAGAGGGUGAUCGGCCACACUGGAACUGAGACACGGUCCAGACUCCUACGGGAGGCAGCAGUAGGGAAUAUUCCGCAAUGGGCGAAAGCCUGACGGAGCAACGCCGCGUGAGUGAUGAAGGUCUUCGGAUCGUAAAACUCUGUUAUUAGGGAAGAACAUAUGUGUAAGUAACUGUGCACAUCUUGACGUUACCUAAUCAGAAAGCCACGGCUAACUCCGUG